UGGGGAAUAUUGGACAAUGGGCGAAAGCCUGAUCCAGCCAUGCCGCGUGUGUGAAGAAGGUCUUCGGAUUGUAAAGCACUUUAAGUUGGGAGGAAGGGCAGUAAGCGAAUACCUUGCUGUUUUGACGUUACCGACAGAAUAAGCACCGGCUAACUCUGUGCCAGCAGCCGCGGUAAUACAGAGGGUGCAAGCGUUAAUCGGAAUUACUGGGCGUAAAGCGCGCGUAGGUGGUUCGUUAAGUUGAAUGUGAAAGCCCCGGGCUCAACCUGGGAACUGCAUCCAAAACUGGCGAGCUAGAGUAGGGCAGAUGGUGGUGGAAUUUCCUGUGUAGCGGUGAAAUGCGUAGAUAUAGGGAGGAACACCAGUGGCGAAGGCGACCACCUGAGCUCAUACUGACACUGAGGUGCGAAAGCGUGGGGAGCAAACAGG
Molecule: ribosomal RNA, 429 nt
Filed under: Pseudomonadota bacterium
Lineage: Bacteria; Pseudomonadati; Pseudomonadota
Description: Proteobacteria bacterium partial 16S ribosomal RNA
Rfam family: Bacterial small subunit ribosomal RNA
Source: RNAcentral